AUUGAACGCUGGCGGCAGGCCUAACACAUGCAAGUCGAGCGGAUGAAGGGAGCUUGCUCCUGGAUUCAGCGGCGGACGGGUGAGUAAUGCCUAGGAAUCUGCCUGGUAGUGGGGGAUAACGUCCGGAAACGGGCGCUAAUACCGCAUACGUCCUGAGGGAGAAAGUGGGGGAUCUUCGGACCUCACGCUAUCAGAUGAGCCUAGGUCGGAUUAGCUAGUUGGUGGGGUAAAGGCCUACCAAGGCGACGAUCCGUAACUGGUCUGAGAGGAUGAUCAGUCACACUGGAACUGAGACACGGUCCAGACUCCUACGGGAGGCAGCAGUGGGGAAUAUUAGACAAUGGGCGAAAGCCUUAUCCAGCCAUGCCGCGUGUGUGAAGAAGGUCUUCGGAUUGUAAAGCACUUUAAGUUGGGAGGAAGGGCAGUAAGUUAAUACCUUGCUGUUUUGACGUUACCAACAGAAUAAGCACCGGCUAACUUCGUG
RNAcentral lists this ribosomal RNA (484 nucleotides) under uncultured bacterium. RNAcentral describes it as "partial 16S ribosomal RNA". It matches the Rfam family "Bacterial small subunit ribosomal RNA", at positions 30 to 507 of the family's 1533-position model. The record is from RNAcentral.